CGAGCCUUCAGGCACAAUGGACUUUUGGAAGACACCCAAGCCACACACAAAGCAUAGCACAGGGAAGGUGCAAGCUCUCUUGGUCCUGGUGUUCUCAUCUGUACAGUAAUCUCCAUGACUCCUCCAUGUCCCUCCACUGGGGAGCACCAAGUGAAAGGAGGGAGAAGGCUGGGAACUGCCAAGUGGAAAGUGCGAGUCAAACAUGAGGUGCAUAUGAGGCUCAAGACGGACCCACCAUUUCCGGCUGGCCCUGCCUACUGUCCUGACUCCAAGGAGCACCUGGGAACUCCCCCAAAUCACCAACAUCCUGGGGAAAAGGAGCACAGACCAUCAAUGGCCAUUGGAAAGGUGACAAAUGGAGACCUUUACUCAGAAGCAGGAGAGAAGCAGGUUGUCCAAAGUACUGAAUGCAUCUCCCCGAUCAAAUUCUUGGUUAUAUUCAAAUACUCCACACUAUGUACAAAAAUCCAUUCUGUUGCUUCAAAACAAAUCAUGAACAUCUGGGCCUUGGUUGUAAUUUCAAAUAAAAAGUUAGCAAAUUUAAAUAUCAGCACAGGGACUUUCAACUUCAUGAAUGUUGCAUUCAAAAUGAAGGCCUUUGGCAAUUGGGUUUGGAGAGUUUCAGCCUGCAGGAUGCACAUUCCCAGAGGCAGCUGUGAACAAGUGGGAGCCACUGGGUGACACCCAGGUUCGAGCACACCAUCACAUUCUUGGGGAACACUGCUAACGCACGAUCAAAAAGGCUGAAGACGGUUUGUGUAGGCAGUAUGGGUGGCCCUUUAUAGGAUGUAGGAAAUGGUGUGUGCUUGAAUAUCAAGUGUACAGGAAACCAGGUAAGGGGAAGAUACCUGCAGUGCUGAAGACAAUAAGUGCCAUACUUAUCACUUUACUGGGAUAAAAACUUAAAAUAAUUAAAAAUAAAACUGGAGUGCCAAGAAGCCCACAGCCCACUGCGUUCUUGCGGCACACUGGAGUGACACUACUGCUCUCUUUGCCAAAAGCUUCUUAUUUCCAAGGAAGCCCGUUUUAUAGACACACAUCAGAACAUCUUCUUUUACCUUUUGACAAAAUGAAACUGCAUCCUUGGGAGUUUCCCACCCAUUGCUCUCUUGGCUACUUCACUCCAGUACUAUUUCAUUACUUAUUGAUUUUUCAACGCCUCUCUGCAUGGCUGUAAUUUACAC
This 1184-nucleotide long non-coding RNA is filed under the name Heterocephalus glaber (naked mole-rat). RNAcentral's name for it is "lncRNA (ENSHGLG00100047559.1)". Lineage: Eukaryota; Metazoa; Chordata; Mammalia; Rodentia; Bathyergidae. The record is from RNAcentral.